AAGACCUUGCACUUUUGGAGCGGCCGAUGUCUGAUUAGCUAGUUGGUGGGGUAAUGGCCUACCAAGGCUUCGAUCAGUAGCUGGUCUGAGAGGACGGCCAGCCACACUGGGACUGAGACACGGCCCAGACUCCUACGGGAGGCAGCAGUGGGGAAUUUUGGACAAUGGGCGCAAGCCUGAUCCAGCCAUGCCGCGUGAGUGAAGAAGGCCUUCGGGUUGUAAAGCUCUUUCAGCCGGGAAGAAAAGGUUGCGACUAAUAAUCGCAAUCCACGACGGUACCGAAAGAAGAAGCACCGGCUAACUACGUGCCAGCAGCCGCGGUAAUACGUAGGGUGCGAGCGUUAAUCGGAAUUACUGGGCGUAAAGGGUGCGCAGGCGGUUUUGUAAGUCAGAUGUGAAAUCCCCGGGCUUAACCUGGGAACU
This 423-nucleotide ribosomal RNA is filed under the name uncultured bacterium. RNAcentral's name for it is "bacterial SSU rRNA". It matches the Rfam family "Bacterial small subunit ribosomal RNA", at positions 207 to 622 of the family's 1533-position model. The record is from RNAcentral.